GCCGGUGUAGCUCAAUUGGUAGAGCGCCUGACUUGUAAGCAGUGGAUUGGGGGUUCAAGUCCUCUUGCCGGCA
This 73-nucleotide transfer RNA is filed under the name Bacillus subtilis BSn5. RNAcentral describes it as "tRNA-Thr (TGT) (tRNA-Thr-TGT-3-1)". It matches the Rfam family "tRNA". From Rfam's summary of the family: Transfer RNA (tRNA) molecules are approximately 80 nucleotides in length. Their secondary structure includes four short double-helical elements and three loops (D, anti-codon, and T loops). The record is from RNAcentral. Lineage: Bacteria; Bacillati; Bacillota; Bacilli; Caryophanales; Bacillaceae.